Molecule: long non-coding RNA, 218 nt
Organism: Helianthus annuus (common sunflower)
Lineage: Eukaryota; Viridiplantae; Streptophyta; Magnoliopsida; Asterales; Asteraceae
Exons: 3
Source: RefSeq, a predicted model, not a curated record
UCUUAAGCUCAAAUUAGUGAUCAACUCCAUGAAGGGAUCAUAAGGCAAAGGAAUUGAAUCUUCAAGCGGACGAGCCGAAGUUGAUGCACGCUUGAAGGAAAAGAACUAAAGGUGAAGCAAGUGACAUUCCGGAUGGUGAUCAAAGCAAAUAAUAAGAACCGAACACAUCACUUUUGAAGCUUCCCGCAAGAAUAUGUUUUGUUUUAGUUCAAAAUGGG